CGGCAACAGCUCAAAUUUGAAAUCUGGCCCCCCCGCGGGUCCGAGUUGUAAUUUGCAGAGGAUGCUUCUGGCGCGGCGCCUUCCGAGUUCCCUGGAACGGGACGCCACAGAGGGUGAGAGCCCCGUACGGUCGGACCGCCUAGCCUGUGUGAAGCUCCUUCGAC
This 164-nucleotide ribosomal RNA is filed under the name Ophiocordyceps sp. RNAcentral describes it as "partial large subunit ribosomal RNA". It matches the Rfam family "Eukaryotic large subunit ribosomal RNA", at positions 99 to 261 of the family's 3401-position model. The record is from RNAcentral. Lineage: Eukaryota; Fungi; Ascomycota; Sordariomycetes; Hypocreales; Ophiocordycipitaceae.